Molecule: transfer RNA, 84 nt
Filed under: Salibacterium qingdaonense
Lineage: Bacteria; Bacillati; Bacillota; Bacilli; Caryophanales; Bacillaceae
Also listed under: 1 other name
Description: tRNA_Leu_TAG
Rfam family: tRNA
About the family: Transfer RNA (tRNA) molecules are approximately 80 nucleotides in length. Their secondary structure includes four short double-helical elements and three loops (D, anti-codon, and T loops). Further hydrogen bonds mediate the characteristic L-shaped molecular structure. tRNAs have two regions of fundamental functional importance: the anti-codon, which is responsible for specific mRNA codon recognition, and the 3' end, to which the tRNAs corresponding amino acid is attached (by aminoacyl-tRNA synthetases). tRNAs cope with the degeneracy of the genetic code in two manners: having more than one tRNA (with a specific anti-codon) for a particular amino acid; and 'wobble' base-pairing, i.e. permitting non-standard base-pairing at the 3rd anti-codon position.
Source: RNAcentral
GCGGGUGUGGCGGAAUCGGCAGACGCGCUAGAUUUAGGAUCUAGUGUCUAUGACGUGAGGGUUCAAGUCCCUCCGCCCGCACCA